Molecule: ribosomal RNA, 277 nt
Filed under: Bacillus cereus
Lineage: Bacteria; Bacillati; Bacillota; Bacilli; Caryophanales; Bacillaceae
Description: partial 16S rRNA
Rfam family: Bacterial small subunit ribosomal RNA
Source: RNAcentral
AAUGGAUUAAGAGCUUGCUCUUAUGAAGUUAGCGGCGGACGGGUGAGUAACACGUGGGUAACCUGCCCAUAAGACUGGGAUAACUCCGGGAAACCGGGGCUAAUACCGGAUAACAUUUUGAACCGCAUGGUUCGAAAUUGAAAGGCGGCUUCGGCUGUCACUUAUGGAUGGACCCGCGUCGCAUUAGCUAGUUGGUGAGGUAACGGCUCACCAAGGCAACGAUGCGUAGCCGACCUGAGAGGGUGAUCGGCCACACUGGGACUGAGACACGGCCCAG